AGCAGUCGCCGCGGGAAUACGAAGGGUGCAAGCGUUAAUCGGAAUUACUGGGCGUAAAGCGUGCGUAGGCGGUGAGUUAAGUCUGCUGUGAAAUCCCCGGGCUCAACCUGGGAAUGGCAGUGGAUACUGGCUCGCUAGAGUGUGUCAGAGGAUGGUGGAAUUCCCGGUGUAGAGGUGAAAUUCGUAGAGAUCGGGAGGAACAUCAGUGGCGAAGGCGGCCAUCUGGGACAACACUGACGCUGAGGCACGAAAGCGUGGGGAGCAAACAGGAUUAGAUACCCCUGUAGUCCCUGUCUCUUAUAC
This 303-nucleotide ribosomal RNA is filed under the name uncultured bacterium. Its description in RNAcentral is "partial 16S ribosomal RNA". It matches the Rfam family "Bacterial small subunit ribosomal RNA", at positions 507 to 807 of the family's 1533-position model. The record is from RNAcentral.